AUUGAACGCUGGCGGCAGGCCUAACACAUGCAAGUCGAGCGGAUGAAGGGAGCUUGCUCCUGGAUUCAGCGGCGGACGGGUGAGUAAUGCCUAGGAAUCUGCCUGGUAGUGGGGGAUAACGUCCGGAAACGGGCGCUAAUACCGCAUACGUCCUGAGGGAGAAAGUGGGGGAUCUUCGGACCUCACGCUAUCAGAUGAGCCUAGGUCGGAUUAGCUAGUUGGCGGGGUAAAGGCCUACCAAGGCGACGAUCCGUAACUGGUCUGAGAGGAUGAUCAGUCACACUGGAACUGAGACACGGUCCAGACUCCUACGGGAGGCAGCAGUGGGGAAUAUUGGACAAUGGGCGAAAGCCUGAUCCAGCCAUGCCGCGUGGGUGAAGAAGGUCUUCGGAUUGUAAAGCACUUUAAGUUGGGAGGAAGGGCAGUAAGUUAAUACCUUGCUGUUUUGACGUUACCAACAGAAUAAGCACCGGCUAACUUCGUG
This 484-nucleotide ribosomal RNA is filed under the name uncultured bacterium. Its description in RNAcentral is "partial 16S ribosomal RNA". It matches the Rfam family "Bacterial small subunit ribosomal RNA", at positions 30 to 507 of the family's 1533-position model. The record is from RNAcentral.